Molecule: non-coding RNA, 427 nt
Organism: Cinara cedri
Lineage: Eukaryota; Metazoa; Arthropoda; Insecta; Hemiptera; Aphididae
Source: the annotation of a GenBank genome assembly
UAUAUAAAUAGACUGGUUUAUGAUUUUUUCACAUGCAACUUAUGGUAGAGGUGGGUAAAAAUAGAUGGCGCAACAGACGUCGUUGUACCGCAAGACGUUGCAUAUUCGGUCCAAACCACGCACUCCGCCAACCAAUUAGGUUUCCAACCUGUAUAACUUAUAGUCGUCACCACGAAAACUGGCUUGUUAGUACCGGGACCACGGCUGAAGAUUUUUGAUUUCUAUAGCCGUGACCGCAACUCACGCCACAUACCCAACACAUUAGUCACGGAUUAUCAAACUAAACCGGUUAUUGUAACCCGAGCUACCGUAUCGAUGUGUCACGUUUGAAAACGUGGAAUAUCUAUUGUCUGAAACCACCAAAGAUAACAUAAUUAUUUAUAAUUAUCUGUAGUUAAAGUUAAGGAUAUUGAAAACAGUGCCUCCG